GUUGACUAUGAUUGCUCGUGUGACUGAUGGUCUUCCUUUAGCGGAGGGGCUGGAUGAUGGCCGUGAUAUUCAAGAUGCAGAUUUCUACAAACAGCAAGCCAAGUCCUUGUUUAAGAACCUCUCUAUGGGCCAGAUUGAGGUAUCAAGGAUGUCUGUAGAAACUGGGCCUUAUAUUUUCCAUUAUAACAUUGAAGGCCGUGUUUGUUAUUUGACAAUGUGUGACCGGUCUUAUCCCAAGAAACUUGCUUUUCAAUACCUAGAAGACCUCAAGAAUGAGUUUGAGCGUGUCAAUGGGAGUCAAAUCGAAACUGCUGCCAGACCAUAUGCUUUUAUUAAAUUU
RNAcentral lists this unclassified non-coding RNA (340 nucleotides) under Hevea brasiliensis (rubber tree). The record is from RNAcentral. Lineage: Eukaryota; Viridiplantae; Streptophyta; Magnoliopsida; Malpighiales; Euphorbiaceae.